Molecule: ribosomal RNA, 509 nt
Filed under: uncultured eukaryote
Lineage: Eukaryota
Description: SSU rRNA
Rfam family: Eukaryotic small subunit ribosomal RNA
Source: RNAcentral
AACUUCAGAUCUGGCUGGGCGGUCUGCUUAACGGCAUGUACUGUCUGGCUGGGUCUUACCUCUUGGUGAGCCGGUGUGCCCUUUAUUGGAUGCAUCGGGGAACCAGGACUUUUACCUUGAGAAAAUUAGAGUGUUCAAAGCAGGCCUAUGCCCGAAUACAUUAGCAUGGAAUAAUAAAAUAGGACGUGCGGUUCUAUUUUGUUGGUUUCUAGAGUCACCGUAAUGAUUAAUAGGGAUAGUUGGGGGCAUUGGUAUUGAGUCGCUAGAGGUGAAAUUCUUGGAUUGACUCAAGACCAACUAUUGCGAAAGCAUUUGCCAAGGAUGUUUUCAUUAAUCAAGAACGAAGGUUAGGGGAUCGAAAACGAUCAGAUACCGUUGUAGUCUUAACAGUAAACUAUGCCGACUAGGGAUUGGGCAACCUCAAUUAUGAUGUGUUGCUCAGCACCUUACGAGAAAUCAAAGUUUUUGGGUUCCGGGGGGAGUAUGGUCGCAAGGCUGAAACUUAAAGG